This 678-nucleotide long non-coding RNA is filed under the name Mus spicilegus (steppe mouse). RNAcentral describes it as "lncRNA (ENSMSIG00000007532.1)". Lineage: Eukaryota; Metazoa; Chordata; Mammalia; Rodentia; Muridae. The record is from RNAcentral.
UCGCAGGCCGAAAUAAUUGAACAUUUUGUAUGUUUUUCUGUGCUGUCUUAGGAAGAAGGACAGAUGUCAGGAGGAAAGAAACAUCUCCUACAUGAAGUGGGAAGAAAGUGAGGCUCACCCCUGGCUGCAUCCAGGGAAUGCUGCCAACAAAUACUGCAAAGCUUUUGGUUGCAAAGCAUUGUGGUUCAUAUGGCAUGCUGAUUAGCACGGGAGGAGGUAUCGAAAGGUCAGUAUGGUCCCAGUGUCAUAGAAUCCUCCGGUGGACUCAAUUGUGUCACGUGGGACAAGCCUGCUGCUCCUGCUCCUAAGAGGCCAUUCCCAACUCUCCUGGGAACUGAUCCUGCUUCGGACGCCCCCUACCAUUCUUGCUUCCAUAUCCACCAUGUCUGCAGUGUCUGUUCUUCUUGGCUGCAGGCUUGUUCUUUGGAGACGGGCUCUCAGUUGGCAUCCUGAGAUCUGCCGAGAAACUUAGAACUGUGGUGCCUACCAGUCAUCCCUCUUUAUUGGUGUCUCAAUGCCUGCCAGUGGGCUAGAGCUCUGAUAUGGGCAAAUGCCUCCUGGGUGGCUCCUCACUGCCACCAAGAGUUUGGAGCUUCUGUUUUGCUGUCUGAGUGCUUCCUCUCAUGUCCUGCGUGUAAGUCCUCCUCUUUCACUGAAUGCCCACUUUUUUUCUAGGAG